RNAcentral lists this long non-coding RNA (1274 nucleotides) under Sus scrofa (pig). RNAcentral's name for it is "lncRNA (ENSSSCG00045012853.1)". The record is from RNAcentral. Lineage: Eukaryota; Metazoa; Chordata; Mammalia; Artiodactyla; Suidae.
AUCCAUCUUGGAAGCAUCAGUGGUUGACAUGUCAACUUCACGUGCACUACUGACCGUGCUGGAUGCGCACCUUUGGGAUGGAGAGGUGCCUGCUGUCUGCCCAGACCCCUGCUUUACAGCCGAAGAAGCUGACAGAGGAGUCAGGCGAUUUAAGGCAUGUGGGCCGCUCUGCGAAGCACACCGCGUCCCCCGAUGCCCAUCCGCAUUCAGCCCGGCCUCUUCCACUCCUGGCAUGAAGGUCAGCACCAAGGGAGAGGCAAGAGGUGCCUGAUGGCUGAUGAGGGAGUGAGUUAGAAAAAGCUAACCUUGGCGGGAGCAGUGCUAUGUCAUCGGCUGUAGGCUGUUACUUAGGGCUCACCUGCCCCGUGCCCACCUUUAAGAGAAAACAGCUUUUCUGAUGUCAGAUGCUUCCAGCCGGUUCCGCCUCCACCCCCUUCCCGGGGCGAAGCCGGCGGCGGCCAGCUGCCUGGCUGAGGGACCGGCUGCCUUGGUUUCACGGCCUCACGUUCAACGGUCUCGUGCUCUGGUGAGAACUUUCCUCAGGAAGCCGCACGCGGGACCCUGAAGACGAGCACGUCUUCCUGGAGCCUCUCAGUCCUGGGCUGUACGCUCUCGCCCCGCUGAGGUUUGGCCUCCCUCUCCUGCCUCUGAAACCACAAAGCAGUUAGAGAUGCUAAUCUCUCGACACAGAGUCACUCUGGCACCACAGGCAGAGGUCGCCUGGGGUCACCAUCGCCCGUCUGUGGUGGAAAGUUCCAAGCGGUGCAGUGGCUUCUGUGAUCUGCCAGUUGCCUCAGAGAGAGCCCUGGACCCCACAGGAAGGUGGUUUUCCGAGGCAGGGUAAAAAUAUAUUUGCGUUUGUUUACAGACGAGGGAUUAUUUUUAGCCGGAGGGUGAGGCAGGAUGAGGAACGAGGGGCCCCACGGUGGUGGGGCUUCGCCAGCGGGACCUGCACCUGCCCACCGCCAGGAGUUUGGGGGUUUCUGCUUCUGGGUUGUUGCUGCACUUCCCUGCCCCUCCCGCCCACCUCCCAGGGCCUCAGGGAGAGGCAGCACCCAUCCCAGAGCUGCCUCUGCAUCCGACUGCUCUGUUUCCCUCCAGGCCAGCCAGCCACACUCGACAGGCCAGCAGCUGAGCUUCAGGCUGCAGGGAGCUCUGUCUGGCUGCUGAGGGACGAGGGCCACGCCUUUGAAGUCCCUGCUGCCGUGCCCUGCUCUGCUACUAACCAUCGUCAGCUCAGGGCACAUCUUCGGGUCAUAGGUGACAGCCCUUAA